CAGCCGCCGCGGUAAUACGGAGGGUGCAAGCGUUAUCCGGAUUUAUUGGGUUUAAAGGGUCCGUAGGCGGAUCUGUAAGUCAGUGGUGAAAUCUUACAGCUUAACUGUGAAACUGCCAUUGAUACUGCAGGUCUUGAGUAAAUUUGAAGUGGCUGGAAUAAGUAGUGUAGCGGUGAAAUGCAUAGAUAUUACUUAGAACACCAAUUGCGAAGGCAGGUCACUAAGAUUUAACUGACGCUGAUGGACGAAAGCGUGGGGAGCGAACAGGAUUAGAUACCCCCGUAGUCCCUGUCUCUUAUAC
RNAcentral lists this ribosomal RNA (301 nucleotides) under uncultured bacterium. RNAcentral describes it as "partial 16S ribosomal RNA". It matches the Rfam family "Bacterial small subunit ribosomal RNA", at positions 509 to 807 of the family's 1533-position model. The record is from RNAcentral.